Molecule: ribosomal RNA, 253 nt
Filed under: uncultured bacterium
Lineage: Bacteria
Description: partial 16S ribosomal RNA
Rfam family: Bacterial small subunit ribosomal RNA
Source: RNAcentral
UACGAAGGGGGCUAGCGUUGCUCGGAAUCACUGGGCGUAAAGGGUGCGUAGGCGGGUCUUUAAGUCAGGGGUGAAAUCCUGGAGCUCAACUCCAGAACUGCCUUUGAUACUGAGGAUCUUGAGUACGGGAGAGGUGAGUGGAACUGCGAGUGUAGAGGUGAAAUUCGUAGAUAUUCGGAAGAACACCAGUGGCGAAGGCGGCUCACUGGCCCGGUACUGACGCUGAUGUGCGAAAGCGUGGGGAGCAAACAGG